RNAcentral lists this ribosomal RNA (313 nucleotides) under uncultured bacterium. RNAcentral describes it as "bacterial SSU rRNA". It matches the Rfam family "Bacterial small subunit ribosomal RNA", at positions 28 to 334 of the family's 1533-position model. The record is from RNAcentral.
GAUAAACGCUGGCGGCGCACAUAAGACAUGCAAGUCGAACGGACUUAACCAUUAGUUUACUAUUGGAGCGGUUAGUGGCGGACUGGUGAGUAACACGUAAGCAACCUGCCUAUCAGAGGGGAACAACAGUUAGAAAUGACUGCUAAUACCGCAUAAUGUGUUUUGGGGGCAUCCCUGAAACACCAAAGAUUUAUCGCUGAAAGAUGGGCUCGCGUCUGAUUAGCUAGUUGGUGGGGUAACGGCCCACCAAGGCGACGAUCAGUAGCCGGACUGAGAGGUUGGCCGGCCACAUUGGGACUGAGACACGGCCCAG